GACGAACGCUGGCGGCGUGCUUAACACAUGCAAGUCGAACGGAAAGGCCCUGCUUUUGUGGGGUGCUCGAGUGGCGAACGGGUGAGUAACACGUGAGUAACCUGCCCUUGACUUUGGGAUAACUUCAGGAAACUGGGGCUAAUACCGGAUAGGAUAUCCUGCUGCAGGGUGGGGGUUGGAAAGUUUCGGCGGUUGGGGAUGGACUCGCGGCUGAUCAGCUUGUUGGUGGGGUAGUGGCUUACCAAGGCUUUGACGGGUAGCCGGCCUGAGAGGGUGACCGGCCACCUUGGGCCUGCGAUACGGCCCAGACUCCUACGGGAGGCAGCAGUGGGGAAUAUUGCACAAUGGGCUGAAGCCUGAUGCAGCAACGCCGCGUGCGGGAUGACGGCCUUCGGGUUGUAAACCGCUUUCGCCUGUGACGAAGCGUGAGUGACGGUAAUGGGUAAAGAAGCACCGGCUAACUACGUG
Molecule: ribosomal RNA, 468 nt
Filed under: uncultured bacterium
Lineage: Bacteria
Description: partial 16S ribosomal RNA
Rfam family: Bacterial small subunit ribosomal RNA
Source: RNAcentral